AUUGAACGCUGGCGGCAUGCCUUACACAUGCAAGUCGAACGGUAACAGGUCUUCGGAUGCUGACGAGUGGCGAACGGGUGAGUAAUACAUCGGAACGUGCCUAGUAGUGGGGGAUAACUACUCGAAAGAGUGGCUAAUACAGCAUGAGAUCUACGGAUGAAAGCAGGGGAUCGCAAGACCUUGUGCUACUAGAGCGGCCGAGGGCAGAUUAGGUAGUUGGUGGGAUAAAAGCUUACCAAGCCGACGAUCUGUAGCUGGUCUGAGAGGACGAUCAGCCACACUGGGACUGAGACACGGCCCAGACUCCUACGGGAGGCAGCAGUGGGGAAUUUUGGACAAUGGGCGCAAGCCUGAUCCAGCAAUGCCGCGUGCAGGAUGAAGGCCUUCGGGUUGUAAACUGCUUUUGUACGGAACGAAAAGCCCUGGGUUAAUACCCUGGGGUCAUGACGGUACCGUAAGAAUAAGCACCGGCUAACUACGUGCCAGCCGCCGCCGUAA
RNAcentral lists this ribosomal RNA (498 nucleotides) under uncultured bacterium. Its description in RNAcentral is "partial 16S ribosomal RNA". It matches the Rfam family "Bacterial small subunit ribosomal RNA", at positions 30 to 523 of the family's 1533-position model. The record is from RNAcentral.